GGAGAGAUGCCGGAGCGGCCGAACGGGAUGGUUUUGAAAACCAUUGACCUCGCAAGGGGUCCCUGGGUUCGAAUCCCAGUCUCUCCGCCA
This 90-nucleotide transfer RNA is filed under the name Planctomycetota bacterium. Its description in RNAcentral is "Planctomycetes bacterium tRNA-Ser". It matches the Rfam family "tRNA". Rfam says of the family: Transfer RNA (tRNA) molecules are approximately 80 nucleotides in length. Their secondary structure includes four short double-helical elements and three loops (D, anti-codon, and T loops). The record is from RNAcentral. Lineage: Bacteria; Pseudomonadati; Planctomycetota.